RNAcentral lists this small RNA (799 nucleotides) under uncultured Glomus. RNAcentral describes it as "SSU rRNA". It matches the Rfam family "Eukaryotic small subunit ribosomal RNA", at positions 314 to 1114 of the family's 1831-position model. The record is from RNAcentral. Lineage: Eukaryota; Fungi; Glomeromycota; Glomeromycetes; Glomerales; Glomeraceae.
AUCAACUUUCGAUGGUAGGAUAGAGGCCUACCAUGGUGGUAACGGGUAACGGGGUGUUAGGGCACGACACCGGAGAGGGAGCCUGAGAAACGGCUACCACAUCCAAGGAUGGCAGCAGGCGCGCAAAUUACCCAAUCCCGACACGGGGAGGUAGUGACAAUAAAUAACAAUACGGGGUUCUUUCGGAUCUCGUAAUUGGAAUGAGUACAAUUUAAAUCUCUUAACGAGGAACAAUUGGAGGGCAAGUCUGGUGCCAGCAGCCGCGGUAAUUCCAGCUCCAAUAGCGUAUAUUAAAGUUGUUGCAGUUAAAAAGCUCGUAGUUGAAUUUCGGGGUCAAUAAGUUGGUCGUGCCAAUGGUAUGCACUGGCUUUAUUGAUUCCUACCUCUUGACGAACUGUGAUGCCAUUAAUUUGGUGUCGCAAGGAAUCAGGACUGUUACCUUGAAAAAAUUAGAGUGUUUAAAGCAGGCUUACGCUUGAAUACAUUAGCAUGGAAUAAUGAAAUAGGACGUUUGAACCUAUUUUGUUGGUUUCUAGGAUCGACGUAAUGAUUAAUAGGGAUAGUUGGGGGCAUUAGUAUUCAAUUGUCAGAGGUGAAAUUCUUGGAUUUAUUGAAGACUAACUACUGCGAAAGCAUUUGCCAAGGAUGUUUUCAUUAAUCAAGAACGAAAGUUAGGGGAUCGAAGACGAUCAGAUACCGUCGUAGUCUUAACCAUAAACUAUGCCGACUAGGGAUCGGAUGAUGUUAAUUUUUUAAUGACUCAUUCGGCGCCUUACGGGAAACCAAAGUGUUUGGGUUC